Long non-coding RNA from Lepisosteus oculatus (spotted gar), 245 nucleotides. RefSeq lists it as uncharacterized. NCBI's taxonomy places the organism in Eukaryota, Metazoa, Chordata, Actinopteri, Semionotiformes, Lepisosteidae. The record is from RefSeq and is a predicted model, not a curated record.
UAAAGAAUAUUAGUGUUGAGUUUGGCUUUGGUUUUCAAAACAAUUCAGAGCGAGGUGCAAGGUAGGGCCCUCUCCCUUCUCUGACGUGAAGAAGUGGCAUCUGGCAUCAAGCUAGAACAAUACACAAGUCUACAACUUCUCUUCUCCUGAGGUGACCUGAGAAACGGACAAUCUAGAAUAGCUGAUCAAGCCUAUCCAUCAGCUCUUCAUAAGCCUACACAUACUGACGCAGCUACCCACCUGAA